Molecule: ribosomal RNA, 447 nt
Filed under: uncultured bacterium
Lineage: Bacteria
Description: partial 16S ribosomal RNA
Rfam family: Bacterial small subunit ribosomal RNA
Source: RNAcentral
AACGAACGCUGGCGGCAGGCCUAAAACAUGCAAGUCGAACGAACCGCAAGGUUAGUGGCGCACGGGUGAGUAACACGUGGGAAUGUGCCUCUGGGUACGGAACAACGUCGGGAAACUGACGCUAAUACCGUAUAAUGUCUACGGACCAAAGAUUUAUCGCCCAGAGAUCAGCCCGCGUCUGAUUAGCUAGUUGGUGAGGUAACGGCUCACCAAGGCGACGAUCAGUAGCUGGUCUGAGAGGAUGAUCAGCCACACUGGAACUGAGACACGGUCCAGACUCCUACGGGAGGCAGCAGUUAGGAAUAUUGGACAAUGGGGGAAACCCUGAUCCAGCCAUGCCGCGUGUGUGAAGAAGGCCUUAGGGUUGUAAAGCACUUUCGGCUGUGAAGAUAAUGACAGUAGCAGAAGAAGAAGCUCCGGCUAAAUUCGUGCCAGCCGCCGCCGUAA